ACGAACGCUGGCGGCAUGCCUAACACAUGCAAGUCGAACGAGACCUUCGGGUCUAGUGACGCACGGGUGCGUAACGCGUGGGAACCUGCCCUUAGGUUCGGAAUAACUCCCCGAAAGGGGUGCUAAUACCGGAUAAUGUCUUCGGACCAAAGAUUUAUCGCCUUUGGAUGGGCCCGCGUUGGAUUAGCUAGUUGGUAGGGUAAAAGCCUACCAAGGCGACGAUCCAUAGCUGGUCUGAGAGGAUGAUCAGCCACACUGGGACUGAGACACGGCCCAGACUCCUACGGGAGGCAGCAGUGGGGAAUAUUGGACAAUGGGCGAAAGCCUGAUCCAGCAAUGCCGCGUGAGUGAUGAAGGCCGUAGGGUUGUAAAGCUCUUUUACCCGGGAUGAUAAUGACAGUACCGGGAGAAUAAGCUCCGGCUAACUCCGUG
This 432-nucleotide ribosomal RNA is filed under the name uncultured bacterium. Its description in RNAcentral is "partial 16S ribosomal RNA". It matches the Rfam family "Bacterial small subunit ribosomal RNA", at positions 29 to 507 of the family's 1533-position model. The record is from RNAcentral.